UACGGGGGGGGCAAGCGUUGUUCGGAAUUACUGGGCGUAAAGGGUUCGUAGGUGGCCAACUAAGUCAGACGUGAAAUCCCUCAGCUUAACUGGGGAACUGCGUCUGAGACUGGAUGGCUUGAGUGCAGGAGAGGAACGCGGAAUUCCAGGUGUAGCGGUGAAAUGCGUAGAUAUCUGGAGGAACACCGGUGGCGAAGGCGACAUCCUGGACCGGUAUUGACGCUGAGGCGCGAAAGCCAGGGGAGCAAACGGG
This 253-nucleotide ribosomal RNA is filed under the name uncultured bacterium. RNAcentral's name for it is "partial 16S ribosomal RNA". It matches the Rfam family "Bacterial small subunit ribosomal RNA", at positions 524 to 776 of the family's 1533-position model. The record is from RNAcentral.